Molecule: ribosomal RNA, 484 nt
Filed under: uncultured bacterium
Lineage: Bacteria
Description: partial 16S ribosomal RNA
Rfam family: Bacterial small subunit ribosomal RNA
Source: RNAcentral
AUUGAACGCUGGCGGCAUGCCUAACACAUGCAAGUCGAGCGGAUGAAGGAAGCUUGCUCCUGGAUUCAGCUGCGGACGGGUGAGUAAUUCCUAGGAAUCUGCCUGGUAGUGGGGGAUAACGUCCGGAAACGGGCGCUAAUACCGCAUACGUCCUGAGGGAGAAAGUGGGGGAUCUUCGGACCUCACGCUAUCAGAUGAGCCUAGGUCGGAUUAGCUAGUUGGUGUGGUAAAGGCCUACCAAGGCGACGAUCCGUAACUGGUCUGAGAGGAUGAUCAGUCACACUGGAACUGAGACACGGUCCAGACUCCUACGGGAGGCAGCAGUGGGGAAUAUUGGACAAUGGGCGAAAGCCUGAUGCAGCAACGCCGCGUGUGUGAAGAAGGUCUUCGGAUUGUAAAGCACUUUAAGUUGGGAGGAAGGGCAGUAAGUUAAUACCUUGCUGUUUUGACGUUACCAACAGAAUAAGCACCGGCUAACUUCGUG